CAAAGCCUCACACGCUGUUGCCACAUGUCACAUCAGGGCACAAACCUUCCCCUUUAACAGAAGUAAUAAGCCCUCAGACUGUGUACUGUGCACCUCUUGAAAGACCACUGGGCCAAAGUCACAGCACCUACCAAAGCAACCACGUGGAGAAGCUGAGUGUUGGUGCUUUAGACAGGCAGAGGAUAAGGAGACAGAUGGAAUUUUGAACCUUUCCAAGGAAUUUCUUGUGUUGGACCAUGGAGAUCCUACAAAUCAUCCUGUUUCUAGCUCUGGAUUGGAUGAG
This is a long non-coding RNA of Passer domesticus (house sparrow), 283 nucleotides long. RefSeq lists it as uncharacterized. Lineage: Eukaryota; Metazoa; Chordata; Aves; Passeriformes; Passeridae. The record is from RefSeq and is a predicted model, not a curated record. The transcript has 3 exons.